RNAcentral lists this ribosomal RNA (432 nucleotides) under uncultured bacterium. Its description in RNAcentral is "partial 16S ribosomal RNA". It matches the Rfam family "Bacterial small subunit ribosomal RNA", at positions 29 to 507 of the family's 1533-position model. The record is from RNAcentral.
ACGCACGCUGGCGGCAUGCCUAACCCCUGCAAGUCGAACGAGACCUUCGGGUCUAGUGGCGCACGGGUGCGUAACGCGUGGGAAUCUACCCUCAGGUUCGGAAUAACUCAGAGAAAUUUGAGCUAAUACCGGAUGAUGACGUAAGUCCAAAGAUUUAUCGCCUGAGGAUGAGCCCGCGUAGGAUUAGGUAGUUGGUGAGGUAAAGGCUCACCAAGCCGACGAUCCUUAGCUGGUCUGAGAGGAUGAUCAGCCACACUGGGACUGAGACACGGCCCAGACUCCUACGGGAGGCAGCAGUGGGGAAUAUUGGACAAUGGGCGAAAGCCUGAUCCAGCAAUGCCGCGUGAGUGAUGAAGGCCUUAGGGUUGUAAAGCUCUUUUACCCGGGAUGAUAAUGACAGUACCGGGAGAAUAAGCUCCGGCUAACUCCGUG